This 378-nucleotide ribosomal RNA is filed under the name Psychrobacter sp. RNAcentral describes it as "bacterial SSU rRNA". It matches the Rfam family "Bacterial small subunit ribosomal RNA", at positions 515 to 892 of the family's 1533-position model. The record is from RNAcentral. Lineage: Bacteria; Pseudomonadati; Pseudomonadota; Gammaproteobacteria; Moraxellales; Moraxellaceae.
CCGCGGUAAUACAGAGGGUGCAAGCGUUAAUCGGAAUUACUGGGCGUAAAGCGAGCGUAGGUGGCUUGAUAAGUCAGAUGUGAAAUCCCCGGGCUUAACCUGGGAACUGCAUCUGAUACUGUUGAGCUAGAGUAGGUGAGAGGGAAGUAGAAUUUCAGGUGUAGCGGUGAAAUGCGUAGAGAUCUGAAGGAAUACCGAUGGCGAAGGCAGCUUCCUGGCAUCAUACUGACACUGAGGCUCGAAAGCGUGGGUAGCAAACAGGAUUAGAUACCCUGGUAGUCCACGCCGUAAACGAUGUCUACUAGUCGUUGGGUCCCUUGAGGACUUAGUGACGCAGCUAACGCAAUAAGUAGACCGCCUGGGGAGUACGGCCGCAAG